UACAGAGGUGGCAAGCGUUGUUCGGCAUUACUGGGCGUACAGGGCGCGUAGGCGGCCAUCUAAGUCAGACGUGAAAUCCCCGGGCUCAACCUGGGAACUGCAUUCGAAACUGUUUGACUAGAGUUUGAGAGAGGGAAGUGGAAUUCCACAUGUAGCGGUGAAAUGCGUAGAUAUGUGGAGGAACAUCAGUGGCGAAGGCGGCUUCCUGGCUUAAAACUGACACUGUGGCGCGAAAGCGUGGGUAGCAAACAGG
RNAcentral lists this ribosomal RNA (253 nucleotides) under uncultured bacterium. RNAcentral describes it as "partial 16S ribosomal RNA". It matches the Rfam family "Bacterial small subunit ribosomal RNA", at positions 524 to 776 of the family's 1533-position model. The record is from RNAcentral.